GGGGGAAUAGCUCAGUUGGUAGAGCACCGGCUUUGCAAGCCGGGUGUCGUGGGUUCGAAUCCCAUUUCCUCCA
This 73-nucleotide transfer RNA is filed under the name Myxococcales bacterium. RNAcentral describes it as "tRNA-Ala". It matches the Rfam family "tRNA". From Rfam's summary of the family: Transfer RNA (tRNA) molecules are approximately 80 nucleotides in length. Their secondary structure includes four short double-helical elements and three loops (D, anti-codon, and T loops). The record is from RNAcentral. RNAcentral also lists the same sequence under 1 other name. Lineage: Bacteria; Pseudomonadati; Myxococcota; Myxococcia; Myxococcales.